ACAUGCAUGCUUUCAUUAUUUCAUCAUCAUAAUUUCAUUGAACUUUCAUAACCAAAGACAUAUUGCAUGGGCUCAAGGCAUGAAAUUAAAAAAAAAAAAAUUAAAAAAAAAAAUAGGGAAAUCGAUUUACCCAAUUAAGUAAGUCGAUUUCCCCUGCGCAGACAUCAAAAAUAAGCCUUUUUUUGCACAAAGGGUAUUUGGUUCCCCCCACUUUCCCACUUGCUUUCCUUAUAAAUAGAUGCACUAUUC
This 249-nucleotide long non-coding RNA is filed under the name Lathyrus oleraceus (garden pea). Its description in RNAcentral is "Pisum sativum (pea) long non-coding RNA (PSAT_LNC023667)". The record is from RNAcentral. Lineage: Eukaryota; Viridiplantae; Streptophyta; Magnoliopsida; Fabales; Fabaceae.